This 1971-nucleotide ribosomal RNA is filed under the name human gut metagenome. RNAcentral's name for it is "bacterial LSU rRNA". It matches the Rfam family "Bacterial large subunit ribosomal RNA", at positions 1 to 1977 of the family's 2925-position model. The record is from RNAcentral.
GAAAGUAAGAAAGGGCGUAUGGCGGAUGCCUAGGCUCACGGAGGCGAUGAAGGACGUGAUAAGCUGCGAUAAGCUUCGGGUAGGUGCAAAUAACCCUUGAUCCGGAGAUUUCCGAAUGGGACAACCUAGCCGUCUGAAGGACGGUUACUCAAUCUUCAAGGUUGAGAGCUAACGCAGGGAACUGAAACAUCUUAGUACCUGUAGGAAGAGAAAAUAAAUGAAUGAUUCCCCCAGUAGUGGCGAGCGAACGGGGAACAGCCCAAACCGUUGACGUCGCAAGGCGCCAGCGGGGUUGUAGGACCGCGACAUUGUAUGCAAAUCGUGAACAGAACACUUUGGAAAAUGUGACCAUAGACGGUGAUAGUCCAGUAUGUGAAGCGAAAUGCAGCAUAGCGGUAUCCUGAGUAACGCGGGACACGAGGAAUCCUGCGCGAAUCUGCCGGGACCAUCCGGUAAGGCUAAAUACUCCCGUGAGACCGAUAGCGAACGAGUACUGUGAAGGAAAGGUGAAAAGAACCCCGAGCAGGGGAGUGAAAUAGUUCCUGAAACCAUACGCCUACAAGCGGUCGGAGCAUCUUACGAUGUGACGGCGUGCCUUUUGCAUAAUGAUCCUACGAGUUACCGUCACUGGCGAGGUUGAGUGUCACGAGACACGUAGCCGCAGUGAAAGCGAGCCUGAAUAGGGCGCAUAGUCAGUGGGGGUAGACGCGAAACCAAGUGAUCUACACUUGGCCAGGAUGAAGUCCCGGUAACACGGGAUGGAGGUCCGCACCAAUAAGCGUUGAAAAGCUUCUGGAUGAGCCGAGUGUAGGAGUGAAAGGCCAAUCAAACUUGGAGAUAGCUCGUACUCCCCGAAAGGCAUUUAGGUGCCGCGUCGGAUGGUCACCGUGAGAGGUAGAGCGACCGAUAGGACAAGAGGGCUUCACCGCCUAUCGAGUCCUGACGAACUCCGAAUGCUCACGGUCUGCAGUCCGGCAGUAAGGGGGCGGGUGCUAAGGUCCGUCCCCGAGAGGAGAAGAAUCCAGACCGCCGUCUAAGGUCCCGGAGUUCUGCCUGAGUUAGUCUAACGAAGUCUGGUCCCUAUGACAGCUAGGAUGUUGGCUUGGAAGCAGCCAUUCAUUCAAAGAGUGCGUAACAGCUCACUAGUCGAGGGUCCGGGCAUGGAUAAUAAUCGGGUAUAAGGCAGACACCGAAGGCGCGGGAUAGCAUUUAAGAAAGUAUCGGUAGGGGAGCAUACUCACAGCGUGGAAUGGUGUACGUAAGUUAUCCUGGAGCGGUGAGUAAAGCAAAUGUAGGAAUAAGUAACGAUAAGGAGGGUUAGAUUCCCUCCCGCUGUAAGACCAAGGUUUCCCGGGCAAUGCCAAUCAGCCCGGGGUCAGUCGGGUCCUAAGUCUAAGCCGAACGGCGAUGGCGAUGGCAGAGACGGUUAAUAUUCCGUCACUGCCGCAUGGGGCGACGUGGAGACGGAGCAGUGAAACCACCGCGGGGCGACGGAAGUCCCCGUUGAAGAGUGUAGGUGUUGAGGAUGGCAGGCAAAUCCACCGUCCGAGCUGAACUUGAUAGUAUGGAGUCUUCUUCGGAAGAAUCCAAUAGUGUGGGUAAUCAUACUCCCGAGAAAAUCCGCUAAGCUUAACCCAUGCGGCACCCGUACCGCAAACGGACACACGUGGUCGGGUAGAACAUACUAAGGCGUUGAGAGAUUCAUGGUUAAGGAACUAGGCAAAUUGACCCUGUAACUUCGGGAUAAAGGGUCCUCGUGAUGAGCGAGGCGCAGAGAAUAGGUCCAGGCAACUGUUUAACAAAAACACAGGGCUGUGCAAACUCGAAAGAUGACGUAUACAGCCUGACACCUGCCCGGUGCCGGAAGGUUAAGAGGAGAUGUCACUCGCAAGAGGAAGCAUUGAAUUGAAGCCCCGGUAAACGGCGGCCGUAACUAUAACGGUCCUAAGGUAGCGAAAUUCCUUGUCGGGU